CCAAUAGCGUAUAUUAAAGUUGUUGCAGUUAAAGAGCUCGUAGUUGAAUUUCGGGGUUCAUACGUUGGUCGGGCUAUUUGGUCUGUACUUAUGUAAUGGAUUCCUACCUUCUGAAUAACCGGCAUGCCAUUAAUUUGGUGCGCCGGGGAAGCAGGACUGUUACCUUGAAAAAAUUAGAGUGCUUAAAGCAGGCUAUCGCCUGAAUACAUUAGCAUGGAAUAAUGAAAUAGGACGGCAUGGUUCUAUUUUGUUGGUUUCUAGGAUCACCGUAAUGAUUAAUAGGGAUAGUUGGGGGCAUUAGUAUUCAAUUGUAAGAGGUGAAAUUCUUGGAUUUAUUGAAGACUAACUUCUGCGAAAGCAUUUGCCAAGGAUGUUUUCAUUAAUCAAGAACGAAAGUUAGGGGAUCGAAGACGAUCAGAUACCGUCGUAGUCUUAACCAUAAACUAUGCCGACUAGGGAUCGGACGAUGUUAAUUUUUUAAUGACUCGUUCGGCGCCUUACG
RNAcentral lists this ribosomal RNA (502 nucleotides) under uncultured Glomeromycotina. Its description in RNAcentral is "partial small subunit ribosomal RNA". It matches the Rfam family "Eukaryotic small subunit ribosomal RNA", at positions 591 to 1092 of the family's 1831-position model. The record is from RNAcentral. Lineage: Eukaryota; Fungi; Glomeromycota.